This 462-nucleotide ribosomal RNA is filed under the name uncultured bacterium. RNAcentral's name for it is "partial 16S ribosomal RNA". It matches the Rfam family "Bacterial small subunit ribosomal RNA", at positions 28 to 507 of the family's 1533-position model. The record is from RNAcentral.
GACGAACGCUGGCGGCGUGCUUAACACAUGCAAGUCGAACGGAAAGGCCCUUCGGGGUACUCGAGUGGCGAACGGGUGAGUAACACGUGGGUGAUCUGCCCUGCACUUGUGGAUAAGCCUGGGAAACUGGGUCUAAUACCGAAUAGGACCACGCGCUUCAUGGUGUGUGGUGGAAAGCUUUUGCGGUGUGGGAUGGGCCCGCGGCCUAUCAGCUUGUUGGUGGGGUAAUGGCCUACCAAGGCGACGACGGGUAGCCGGCCUGAGAGGGUGGCCGGCCACACUGGGACUGAGAUACGGCCCAGACUCCUACGGGAGGCAGCAGUGGGGAAUAUUGCACAAUGGGCGCAAGCCUGAUGCAGCGACGCCGCGUGAGGGAUGACGGCCUUCGGGUUGUAAACCUCUUUAAAUAGGGACGAAGCGCAAGUGACGGUACCUAUAGAAGAAGCACCGGCCAACUACGUG